This 377-nucleotide ribosomal RNA is filed under the name uncultured eukaryote. Its description in RNAcentral is "partial 18S ribosomal RNA". It matches the Rfam family "Eukaryotic small subunit ribosomal RNA", at positions 592 to 976 of the family's 1831-position model. The record is from RNAcentral.
CAAUAGCGUAUAUUGAAGUUGCUGCAGUUAAAAAGCUCGUAGUUGGAUUUCGGGUGGGAAUGGCCGGUCCGCCGUUUCGGUGUGCACUUGCUACGCCCACCUUGCUGCCGGGGACGUGCUCUUGAGUUCACGCUCGGGACACGGAGUCGGCGAGGUUACUUUGAGUAAAUUAGAGUGUUCAAAGCAGGCCUACGCUCUGAAUACAUUAGCAUGGAAUAACACGAUAGGACUCUGGCCUAUCUUGUUGGUCUGUAGGACCGGAGUAAUGAUUAAGAGGGACAGUCGGGGGCAUUCGUAUUUCAUUGUCAGAGGUGAAAUUCUUGGAUUUAUGAAAGACGAACUACUGCGAAAGCAUUUGCCAAGGAUGUUUUCAUUAA